RNAcentral lists this RNase P RNA (361 nucleotides) under Gemmatimonadetes bacterium RBG_16_66_8. Its description in RNAcentral is "RNase P RNA component class A". It matches the Rfam family "Bacterial RNase P class A". Rfam says of the family: Ribonuclease P (RNase P) is a ubiquitous endoribonuclease, found in archaea, bacteria and eukarya as well as chloroplasts and mitochondria. Its best characterised activity is the generation of mature 5'-ends of tRNAs by cleaving the 5'-leader elements of precursor-tRNAs. The record is from RNAcentral. Lineage: Bacteria; Pseudomonadati; Gemmatimonadota.
GUGGUAGAGCGCGGCGGUCGCGGCCCGCCUUCGGACGGGCUGAGGAAAGUCCGAGCUCCACAGGGCAGGCUGCCAGGUAACGCCUGGGCGCCGCAAGGCGACGGAAGGGCCACAGAAACACACCGCCCAUCGUUCGUGGGUAAGGGUGAAAUGGUGGGGUAAGAGCCCACCGCGCGGUUGGUAACAGCCGUGGCACAGGCAACCCCCAGCCGGAGCAAGGCCAAAUAGGCGGCGAGGUCCGGCCCGGACCGUCCGAGCCGUGGGUAGGCCGCUCGAGGUGGCGGGUGACCGCCAUCCCAGAGAGAUGACCGUCCGGUCCUGACGGACCGAACAGAACUCGGCUUACGGCUUCACCACUCCU